GGUGCAAGCGUUAUCCGGAUUCACUGGGUUCAAAGGGUGUGUAGGCGGGGAGUUAAGUCAGUGGUGAAAUCUCCAGGCUCAACCUGGAAACUGCCAUUGAUACUAUCUAUCUUGAAUAUUGUUGAGGUAGGCGGAAUAAGUCAUGUAGCGGUGAAAUGCAUAGAUAUCGUCCAGAACACCGAUAGCGAAGGCAGCUAACUAAGGAGUAACUGACGCUGAGGCACGAAAGUGUGGGGAUCAAACAGG
This 246-nucleotide ribosomal RNA is filed under the name uncultured bacterium. Its description in RNAcentral is "partial 16S ribosomal RNA". It matches the Rfam family "Bacterial small subunit ribosomal RNA", at positions 531 to 776 of the family's 1533-position model. The record is from RNAcentral.